ACGUGACCCUCAUGUUUCCAUGGCAAUCAGUCAAUUACGCUUAUGACGCUCACCUGCGGUCAUUCGCGCAGUAUCCAUGAUUUUAAGCGGCAUGAAACACUUAAGUUAACUCCUUUGUACGAAAAUAUCAUGUCGUAGCCCUUCAAAUUAGAAUAGUGAUGAUGAUCUUGUCAAUGCUGAGAUUUUCAUGCAUCAACAGCCACUACAUCUGGAUCAGAUUGAACAAGAAACAGACAGCAAGGGUUGUCAGAUCAGAAACAGAAUGACACACAAGAAACUUCACAGGCUGAUCAACAUGCAAUUUGAAGACGUGUGAUAAAAUACAGAGAGGUGAAGUAGUGUGUCUUUCCAGAUCCCCAAAUCAUUCCUUCUUAAAAGAUGAGCCUGAAGAGGAGAUUUGGGAAGAUGCUGUUUCGUAAGUCGCUUUGCCAGAUAACCUGUGGUCAGGAUGUCUGCUAACAAGAUGCCUUGCUGGUCUGGGCGAGUUUAAAGGCUUACACAGACAAUCCAGAAGUUCUGAAGUCCAUCUUCGAUUUCAUUGAUGCUGUCAUCGUAUUAAGUACAGCAUGAGCCAGAAUAGAUGUGUGGUGGUGGCCAUAAGGAGACUGUCAACUAAACCAAC
Molecule: long non-coding RNA, 622 nt
Organism: Paramisgurnus dabryanus
Lineage: Eukaryota; Metazoa; Chordata; Actinopteri; Cypriniformes; Cobitidae
Source: RefSeq, a predicted model, not a curated record